Molecule: long non-coding RNA, 2981 nt
Filed under: Arabidopsis thaliana (thale cress)
Lineage: Eukaryota; Viridiplantae; Streptophyta; Magnoliopsida; Brassicales; Brassicaceae
Description: potential natural antisense gene, locus overlaps with AT5G18240 (AT5G18245)
Source: RNAcentral
AACGAUAAAAUAAACAAAAUUGCAAUGUUUGGUUAAGUGGUCCAAAGAAAACUAUAAUGGGUGAAAAUAAGCGCCUACUAAAAUUUCAGGGACGAAACAUGACAUUGUCACUCUUUGAGGUAACAGAUGGGGUCCUCUUGCCCGAAUUCGGAUAAAACCAGUUUAACCCGACCCAGAUCUAUGCGAACCGACCCGGUUUGAAAAAAGGCGUCGGACAAUCCCCAAUCUCUCGUCGUUCGACGGGGCCAUUCGUUUCUCACUUUCCGGUUUUUCUUCGAUUUGCAACGUUGUGAAUGCUUACACAUCUAUGGGUAUGUUCUUGCUUUGUUAAAAAGCACGGAGCUUUACGUCCUUCUCUCAAGAAUUUCAGUAUCUUCCAUGAAGUUAGUAAAUUUAUCUGUAUUUAUAUGAUGAGAUCAUAACUACGCAAAUUAAUAGUGUUGUACAUUGUUGCACAAGAUGUCUCUUUUGAGUUCGACUAAUAAUUCAAUUUUUAGACGAAUCCCUCAAGCUAACAAAGGAAAUCAAAGGCUUUUCAUUUCCUGUGUGAUUAUCAUAAAAAGGUUGUUGCACUCUUCUAAAGCUUAUUUGUUCUUCUCAAUUCCAGCUGAAACCAUUUAAAUCAAACUGUUUAGGACGCGUUGUGCCAUAGUUUUCGUCGUGUGUGUUAAGAUCUAGAGCUGUUCUUGUGUGUGUUUCAAGCUUGCAAUCUUCAUUAUUCUCGUUGAAUCUUUCUUCUGUAUACUCACUGUUGUUGCUACUCCUUCCUCUGUGUUCAUGUAAUCCCACUCCUAUUGACAAUCUUCCAGGACUUCUUCUUGAAGACGAGAUUCUCGGUUCUGCGUUGUUAACCAUUGUUGAAAGAUAUGGCCUGUUGUGAUUCUCUCUGAGGCUUUCUUCUUCUGCCCAUGUGAGCUCCAUUCUAUGGAAGAAUGGCUCUUCCAUUAUCUCUUUCUGCUCUGAAGUUGAAUCUCCAAUAUAUGUUCUUAAUCCCAGUCUGUUGUCAAGCAUCUUUGGGGCUUUCUGAGUUCCUUCACUUGAGGUUAGGCAACUGUCCAGGGAGGAGUUAGGUGGAUACGUUUUUUGCAUCUGUUGAUGGUGUAGAUUCUGCAGUUCUUUCGGUUCGAGGAAACUAGAGUCUGGAUAGUCUGCUGAUACUUUAGAUACUAAUUCUGAGAGUUGAGCUUUUGUUGCUUCAAUCCCAGCUGCACCUAGGUUCUGUCUUCCAAGAGUCUCUUGUGCUUUCUCCAGAAUCGAUUGCAGAGUACAGUAUAUGAUAGAUACCUCAAGUUGCUCGUGUAGCCGUCUCUGGACCUCUAUUUGCAUUUGAAGGGCAUCACUUAUGGGUAAGUUCCUGCGUGCACAAAUAUAGGUCAUUUUUGAGAAUCUACUAAGGUAGAAUAUGUAAGCAAAUAGGCAUAUCCUUACAUGCUCGGCUGUGGUCCAAUGCUUAAACUCUCACUGUGACUUUCGUCUACUUCAGGGGGGUUUUCUUCUACCAUGGUCAUCACACCUAAACCAGGUUGCUUUUAGUUUACUUGAAGGAAAAUAGUAUGAAAAAAGAAUGAAUCUUUAGAUUAAAAUAUUUUUGUAUCUGAGUAAUGAAUAACUAAGCUUACUUGUCUUGUUUAAACUGCUGUUAGCUUGUCCAUUAAGAUUCUUGCUUAGCCUAUAUUUCUGGUAGUCAAAUCAUGAUAUUAAUAAUCUUUGUAAAACAAAAAACAGAUAUUACAGAUUUUUCAUAUCUUGACAUAUCGUCAUUUUUGUGCUACUUUAAUAGUUUUCUACCAAUCGAAUUGAUGAACGAGUCAUGUAAGUUUAGGGCCUUGGGCAUAUGACUGUAUAAAGUGUUGAUGGAUUACCUGAAGAUGACUCUUGAGAUGGUAUAAGGUAAGGCCUGGAAUGCCCAUGACUUUCAUGAUUGUCUUAGGAGUAGCCUCUGCGCAGACAAAAGUAUACACAUUAAUACAUUAUGUUCAAAAAGCCUGAUUGUAAAAGAUGGUUCAUUUGCUUAUAAGAUAACUUACUAUCUCCUCCUCCAAGCUGGUUGACCGCUUCAACAAAUCUCUCGUGAAGAUCUGGAGUCCAUUUUAGUCGUGGCUUUGCAUCAGUGGAGAGAAUGAGUCCAGAAUCUCCUGUGCCAUUUCCUCUGAGGAACGGAUGCCUUUCAGAAGAAAUGGGCAUUCUCGAUGAAGAGAGGAUGCUCUUUCCUUGGUGCUGGUUGUGGUAAUACAUAAGUCUGUCUUCAAAAUAAAAAGGCCGGGGUCUCUCAAGAGUAAAAAGUCUUUGCAACUUUGCUUUAUAUAGAAAGUUGAAUGGCAAAAAGGCAAAUUAGAGGAUGAUAACUAAGGGGAAUUCAUUCUUUUUCCUUAUUCCUCAAUUUUUUCAAAGUCCACAGCUCCAACCUCUCUAUCUCUUGAGGGAGCAUAAUUCAACACGUGGGAUUGUGAUUCGCUUGAUUGAAUGAGAGAGGAUUGGAUACAUAAAACAGGAGGAAGCGGGAAAUGACCGCGGAAUUAUAUUCGUUUGGAGAGAAAAUGGAGGGUAAUAAGUGGGUUCGUUCAUGAGAUUCUAGAGAAUGAGAAUAUGAGAAUCCAAAACUAAAGAAAGCUUGGUGAGUCGCAUUCUCAACUCAAGAAUCUUUUUUGUUCAUCACAACCCGAACCCAAAAAAAAAAAGAGACUAUUCGGGUCUAUUUCUUUCCCCUUUUACUUAGUCUCGAUUUUUGUGGAUAUUUUAAUGAAUUGUGAUUCUUAUAAGCACAACAAAAGAUUAGGAGAAUCAUUGUAGGAGUUUUGUGUUCACCACAAGGCAGUGUUGUCUGCAUCCAACCGAAUCAUGUAGCAGUUUUGUUAUAUUGGUUUGAAUAUUAUGAAACUAUAAAAAAUCGAGGGCACUGCGACUGGACGCAAACGCAAAUGCUGGCUAAAUUAUUCGACAAGUCGGAUCAUUAUAAAGAGUUGAUUGUCUAGUUGCAAGUA